UUGGCUUAUCUCUUUGCAGCCCAUAAGCAGUCUACUUAAUGACUGCUGCUUUUGUAUGGAAGAAAGAAAGAUUUCAAGCCAGAUUCUUUGCCGCUUUCUUUAAAAAUAUGUAUUAUUUAUGCUACCCAAGUGAAAACUUCCUUGAGGUAAUGACAACUGGAAUCAUUCAGAACAUUCCUACAAGAGGGCAGCUGCCAAUCUGCUGCCUGCUUCCCAUCACUGCCCAAUGCCCAGCUCCCUCCUGCUCUCCAGGUGUACCUGCCUUCAGCCUUCAGCUCGUGUGGAUCUCCCUCAUGACUCUGUUUCUUCCAAAUUAUGUUUUAUGAAGCAGACCUUAUUUGUAGGGUGGAUUUCUUUUUUUCUGCAGCUGAAGUGUUAUUAUUUAUUGGAGCCAGUGAAGCACUGUGCAUUGUGCCAGCCUUAGCAAAACUGUUCCUUUAUAGCCCCUUUCUCAUGGAUAUACAGCAGCUUGUGUCUAUCCUAUCUCCUUUCAUUUUCAUUUAUGAAAUAUAACGGUGUGGGAGGCUCACAUAUGUAACUAACCAAAUUAUUUGCAUUCCUUUGAUUAGCUCGUUAUGUCACAUUAGUGUGGUAAGGUAUGUGUGCAUGCAGAAGCAGUCCAGCCUCAGUGUUUCAGCAUCAUCUACCAAAUCAAUAGAUUGUAUAAAUAGUUUUAAAGCUAAUGUGCACAUUCAUGGAUCUGCUGUCUGUAGGCAGGGUUCUUCGGUGCCUGAGUUAUGGAGUGGGCCUCACCGUGCUUUUUCCAGGUGAUUUACUGAUCCUGUUGAAGGGCUUACAGGAAAGUUGUGAGCUGCUUCUGUGGAGGAUUCUUUCUUUCUCUCUUCAAAUAUUAAAUAAGUUGUCUGAGCUUGAGUCGUCAAUUCAUUCUGAUAGAAUCAGGUGAGUUUAUGCUGAUUUAUGUGUCUAAAUGAUAUUAACUUUGUAUUCCUGGAACUGACAGAUUUAUCAUCCCUUUAUAUACAUAGGUGAAAAGAUAGAAAUAUACCUGAUAAUGAACCACUAAGAGACUGUUGGAUACUAUAUGUGUGUGUAUGUAUAUAUAUUAUAUAAAGCAAGCCCUGGGAGCUCCUUAACAAAACAUCAGAGAUCAAAACUGUCAUCUGUUCUGCCAUGGUGUCCUGGUGCAAAGAUGACAAGGUUUACUGGAACUAAUAAAGUAACACAGCUGUACAUGAGCGCAAGCCACAACAUCAUCAUUUCUAUUGUUCGAAUGAGUAAGAGAAAUGCUAGCUUUGUUUGUGAAGAGUCCUGGUAUUUUUUCUUUAGAAUUUAAAUUCUUUACGUGAUAAAGAAGGUGGGAAUCAAGGCAAAGUUCAGGAACCGUUAGAGAAAGGUGCUCUGACACUUUGCCAUAGGUGGAUUAUCCAUAUGCAGAAGGUCGCAACCUUAAGAGCGGAAAGGGACCCUCUGUCUUUAGCAGUGUAAUUGUAUUUAUUAUCUGGUGCCUGACAACUAAAUUGGAAUGAUUCUGCUCUGCAAAGUGAAAAUAGAAGAGUUAUCAUAAAAUCUCUGAAUCAUUCUGUUUGCAUGGAACAUAGCAUCUAGUCCAGUCCCACCACUGUAACGCUGGGGUCCUAAAGCAAGUGGGUUUCCUAAAUGUAAGAGCUCUCACUUCCAUUUCCUGAGAUACGUGCUGGUUUGGAUGGAAUGUCUUUCUUUAUUCUGCAUGCCUUUUGGAAAAGAUAAUACAUAGAGUAGAUUAAACCCAUUUUUUCCUCCUUUUUUAUUUUAAUGCUCAGAUAGGGCACAUUAAAACAGCUGUACUACUGCUUAAUGGGCUUGGCUGUUUCUAAAGAAGUCAGGAAGAAGUAUAUUUCUUUCUGCUCAAAUUGUAGAAGUUAUUUUUGUGUCCCAUGUGUAUUAUCUCGAAUGAUGGCACAUAUUUUUCAUUAUGUUUUCUUGGCUUGUGCUUUUCCUGAAAGCACUGUUCUAUACUGCACAUUACUCUGUAAUCUUCUUAAGUCAUAAUUUCACUUAGACUGUAAAUAGAAAUCCAUUUGUGUAAUUAAUGAUUGUGUUAUUACAGGAGGAUUUAUUUAUUUAAUUUAACUUCCCUUACACGUAGAUGUCAAACAUGCCAUCGUUAGCUUGGAGCUGGGCCACGUAAUGUAGUUAGCAGCCUCCCUCUUCCUGAAGUCAGAACUGGAACAUUCGUGGCAGAAGCUGCAUUUUAGACCUCAGAGUUAUGAGAGAGAUUUGUCUGAAAGUGGAAAUCAAACAGCUGAGCAGCCGUGUUUGCCCAAGGCAGUGUCUCUGAGGGAGUAUGACUUUCCCUGUCCCAUCACUCUUAUUCAGAAGUUAAUCCUCAAAUCGAAUGUGGGAACUGCUCUCUUCUUACAUGUGUGUGACACAGCUUACAAAUGAAUGGAGGAGUGCGGAGGAAAGCAACAACUGUCUCUUGGAAGAAAAAGGAAAGCCAUGGAAGGGACUGCAGAAAGGCAAAAGCUUUACAGAUGGGCAGAGGAGUACAAAGAGGUGGAAACAGUUUGGCUCAGACCACAAUGUGAAUCAAUGGCAGAACCAGGAAUAGGGUUGAGAAGUGGAGUGCACGCCUGUGCUGAAACCACUCAACCGCACUGCUCCCCACGUAAGAAAUGGAAAUGAAUUUUUAAUAUUCCUGUUUCCGAAGGAAGGCUUUGGAUUUUAGAAAAAUUAAAUAUUUAUUUCAUUAUGUAUGACUUCAUAAGCCCAUAAUUUAUACCAGAUAGAUUUAUUGGCUUUAUUUCCCCAUGAUAAUUAUAUAGCCCUUGUUGAUCUAAUGGGCUUGUCAUUUUUAGUGAUGUAUCCAUCUGCCCAAAGAUAAGCAUUAUUUGCCUGUUAUAUAAUUAGGAACACAAUAGAAUGCACACAAAAAUUGCACUGAGCUUAAACACUAAAGUGAAGGGGUUUUUCCCUCUCCCAAAUGCAGGUUUAACACACCAAAUUAGUUUGGAACUACUUCAGUUUCCUUAGCAAACUCAAUCCUCUGAUAUUUAUCAGGCUGGCAGCUUUGAGGUCCUCUAUUUACUUCAAAUACUGAACAUUUGAACUGCUGAUGUACAGCAACAACACCAGCAGAUUGCAGAGGGUUUGGAAACAUUGAGCAGUGUGCAUCAGGAGGAAGGCUGUGCUCACUGCUGCUGCCUGGGUGGCCGUUCUGCCCAAAUCUCAGAGCAUCAUGUUUGGCAUGAACUGGAAGGGAGCACAGAAACGCCUAAAACAGCCAUAAGUAAGAGAGGCUUUCCUUACGUCCACAAAGUCCUUCUGCUUCACAAACUCAAGGAUUACUUUACUGCUGAUAGUAGAGUACCAAAGCCUCUGCACUGUAAUGUAAGUCAAAUGUUUCAGUCUGUUUGUCUGAUCAGCCUCGAAAGUCAUUUAGCCUUAGGAAUUAUCCCUAGGAAUGCAAUAAAUCAGCGUUGCAUUUUCAGCUGAAAGAUGUGUAUUUAUAAAAAAUUGGGCAUUAUUAAAUUUUGAAUUCCUGCACUAUUAUGGUAAGUAAAUAGAGUCUUACAGGUGCAUUUAGCCAGGGAGUAAAAAGGAGGGCACUGCUGGAUAUUUUAUAUAAAUGUGUCCUUUAAAGGUUAAGCACAAAUGAAAGGAUGUAGCAUAUCAUUCAAUUACAUUACUGUUUCAAAGACAGCAUUAUUGUUACAUAAUUUAAAACCAGAUAAUGCCUUAGAGAAAAACAAGGAUCAAGGGAGGGGGAUGUGGUGACACAAAAGAACCUCCUGUAAGCGUAGGAAAAAGACACAGGCAAUUGAAAGUUUAAAUGGACCUGAAUCUGGAUGGACACAUUAACUCUUAUCCUGCCUUCAGUCUGUUUUCUCUUUGGGCCCUGAAACAGCAUCAGUCCAUGUCCUGCCCUUGCUCUCUAAACUUCUCCCAAGCCUUGCAAGCAUCAGAGGGAGAUAUCAGAGCCAGAGCCUCUCAUCUCCUUUCCUCCCUUGACCUCACCUCUGUCUCCCAUACUUCUCCAGGCAGCCCAUGCAUACUCCUGAGGAAGAAUGUGGCCAGCAUACUGCCAAGUGCUGCUAAAUGGAAGUGGGUAGGGGAUAACAGGAAAAGCAAAAUGACUGGAGGAAGAUUUCUUCCCGAUGCUGUAAUCUCAUGCUGCUGUUUAUCUCUACCUGUGGCUUUGCUUAUUCCUUCGUCCCCUCCAUAAAUCACUGCAGCUGGUGGUGCAUUCACCCAAUCUUCCUGCCAGGAUGGUGCCAAACCUCUUCCCGUCAGACACCUGAACUGGUGAAUUCUCACAGCUAAACACCCCUAUUUUCAACUAGGGAAACUGAAGUGAAAGAAAAUUUCAAAGGUGGAAAAGAACACAGCCAGGCAGAGGAGACUCUUUCUCACUCCUUCAACCACUGCUGGUGAAAUGAGCCCCACACUACGUGAUCGAGAGAACUGACUUCCAGCUUUGAUAGGUUAUAAAUAGUAGGCACUGUAAUUGUCCAGCAGUUCUCCUGCAAGGAAGAGUGUAAUUCUGAACCACGUGAUCAAGCCAGGUGUUAUUCCAUGCUACUGCUUCUGAAAAUGCUGACACAACAGAUGCAGGCAUACGGGUUCAGUGAAUCAGGAAGAGAUAAGUGUCAGCUUUCCUCUAUGAUUGUGGCUGCAAAGAUCUUUGUGCUGCAUGUUUAUUCUCCAGUGUUUAGAAAGAAGUUCAGCUAUACCAGUACUUUGUUACUUGAAAACUGCACUGAAAGUGGGUAUUUUCUGCUAUUACUUAAAGCUCAGUGUUGGUUGCAAACCCAAAGAAAGCGGGUACCCAUGUUCAAUACCCCUACCUAAUGCACUGUUGUGUUAGAUACCACAGUUCUAAUUCUGUAAGAUAGUUUUCUUGGAAACAGAAGAAAAUCAGUCUGGAAUAGAAAAAAAUCCCUCCGGAAGAUUCAGUUUCCAUUGUAAAACCAGCUGUUUGCAUUUUUAAUAUCCCACCUUGCUAGUUUUUCUUCUUCCAUCAGGAAGAAGUUCAUAACAAGUUCACACCUUUUAAUCUGAGGGUAAUGAACAGACCUCCCAGUGUUGAAAGCCUGCUGUACAAACAGCAAAAUUAUUCAGACUUCCAGGAGUAACUUAAUUAGAAGGAUUCUUCAGAGUGGCUUUUUUUUUUUUUUCAUUUGAAAAUGUGGUAUUUUUCACACUGUACAGCACAAAGCCUUUGGCAUUUUUGUAAAGUGCAAGAAAAUAAUCAUGGGGAGUUUCUGUUACUUUCUCUAUAGGAGUUGCUACCCAUUUUUCUUUUUAAGCUAAUUUAAGGGACAAAGUAGCUCAAUAAACUGUUUUCUGUUUAAAAGGUGACUUUGAAGAAGAGUGACAUGGUAACUUUCCACAGUGAUUAUGGAAAAUAUUGUUUCUGCUAUUUAUGAAAUACACUGUGAUGCUCUUUUGAUUAAAAAUGAAGAUGAAAAUCUUUCAAAGCCUUUGAGACAAAAUUAUUGCAGCAAACAAAAGAAUGAGAAGAGUUUGCUGAUGGUGUGGAGUUCUGCAUGGUGUUGAAUAUGUGCUGCUCAGUGGAAGAACCAUUUCUAGAAAUGGCAUUUGUCCCCUCAGACUUGUUAUGCGCAGGUGUUUUACUUAUCUGUUGUUCCACUUAUGUUUUCUUUUCUUUCAACAAAUACCCAGGACAAGUUAAAGUGAAUCCUAUAUUCUCUGACUAGAUGCUAAUUGCCAGCAUCAGUACUGAACCUGAGACAGACAUUAGCUCCGUGUGCAAUUACCAGGCUGAUGUAUUGAGGAACUGAGAUCCCAAGAUGAAAACCAGAAGAAGGAGGUGCAGUACUGUCAUUUUGGAAGAUAGUACCCCAGUUUCACUGCUUAUAAUUACAGAACAUCAUUAACUUUUGAAAAUGAACAGGAAAAUCUGCUAUUAGUGUUCUUUCCAGCUGUGAUGCAGCACGAGGGGUUCUCAAUGUCUAUGCUUGCACUUUGUUGCUUCAGCUAAAACAUCCCUUUCUUGAAGAGAACAUUUAUGACUGAGAAGACCAGGGACUCUGGGAAUGAUAUUCUAACAGAGUUAGAAAAUGCCAGAAUGUUACUGACCUCAAUCAAGAUUACAUUUCUGAAGCAGUUUGUGACAUUCUCUUGCCAUGAGUAGUUGUAUAGUUUGUUUUUCAGUAUUAGGAAGAUCUACAGUAAAGGAACAAUGCAAUUCAUCUAAAGAGAGGAAAUUAUAACUUUUGUUCAGUUCUUUACCAACAUUUAUUGACUUUAUUUCUGCUUAAUGAUACAGCAGUGACAUCAAGUCCAGCCCUUUGUUUGCAGGUCAGUAGAUUUAAAUGCUCACUAGAACAAGAAUUCUGUGUGAUCAUUAAAUGUAUUUUUAACAAGUGUCCUUUCAAAACAUCUCAAGGUAACGUUGAAAGAAAAAAAAAAAAGAAAAAAAGCAAACAACAGGAAGAACUGAGAAUCAUUUGCAUAGAAAUGAUGACAUUCCAUCAUGAAGUCCUAAUUUGUGCCUAUGUUUUAGGAUGUUUAUGGUGAUUCCAGGGCUGAUUACCAUAUUAAUGUCAUGAAAAUAAUAAAAAUGUACUGAUUUAGUGCAUUACUCCCUUAAACCAGUCAUAAGAAAAGAUUUACCUCAGUUAUUCUGUGGUAAAAAUUAUAUUACUCAUUUUCUUCAUCUUCAGUGCAUGUGGUAACACAGAAAUAUCACUUUGCAAAGUGCUUUAUAUCAAGGGAAUUCCAGACCACAACAAAGGAGUGCAUGUUAAAAUCAUGAGAAAUGCAGUUCAAGGUGAUUCAUGAAGGAAAUAAUCAGUGUUUAUGAAUGCUAAAAUGCGUUACUCAACUACGUGCUACUAAAUUAUGCCUAUGCAUAAAAGGGGAGCGUGCUUAACACUGUAACUAGGAAAGCUUUACUGUAGUCAGAUUGGACUGAAAAAAAAAUAGUAAGGGAAAGAGAAGUUGAAUAAUAACAUUUGUUUCACUUUGAAAUCAACUCCUUUUUAGUAAGAUGGUGAAGCUGUGAAAAUGGCUUUAGGAGCAAAGAUGCGAGAGGUGGUAGGGACCGAACAGAGGUCUAGAAAGCACAGGCUCUGAAGAAAGCCUUUAUGAACUGGGAUUCUUUUAGAUUAAAAAAAGAGAAGGCAAGGGCUAGGUGACUUCACUUUCAGUUUUAU
Tympanuchus pallidicinctus (lesser prairie-chicken) is the source of this 7121-nucleotide long non-coding RNA. RefSeq lists it as uncharacterized. The transcript is spliced from 5 exons. NCBI's taxonomy places the organism in Eukaryota, Metazoa, Chordata, Aves, Galliformes, Phasianidae. The record is from RefSeq and is a predicted model, not a curated record.